Molecule: small RNA, 1425 nt
Filed under: Pan troglodytes (chimpanzee)
Lineage: Eukaryota; Metazoa; Chordata; Mammalia; Primates; Hominidae
Description: retained intron
Source: RNAcentral
AUGGCAGGCCCUGCAGGGAGCCAGAGUCUGGGUCCCCUGUGCUUCCACAGCAGCCCCCAAGCCCUCUACACGGUCCUCUUAAUAGUGCUGGUCAUGAUGAGCUUGGUGUUUGGUAAGUGGCUCCAAGGGUUCAGAAGGGUCUCCUGGCCUGGAUGGAGAAACCCACAGACACCAAGUGUCUGGGUACACCUGUCCAGGAUGCUCAGGUAAACCCAUGCAGGAGGAGAGAUGGGACAGAUGGGUUUGGUAGGGAAUGCCUGCUCAUGGACUGAUGUGCAAUCUGAAGAUUUUUAAAAAUUUAUUAUUAUUAUUAUUUUUGAGAUGGAGUCUCGCUCUGUAUCCCAGGCCGGAGUGCAGUGGCAAGAUCUCGGCUCACUGCAACCUCCACCUCCUGGGUUCAAGCGAUUCUCAUGCCUCAGCCUCCCGAAUAACUGGGAUUACAGGCAUGAGCCACCAAGCCCAGCUAAUUUUUGUAUAUUUAGUAGAGACGGGGUUUCACCAUGUUGGCCAGGCUGGUCUCGAACUCCUGACCUCAGGUACCUGCUCGCCUUGGCCUCCCAAAGUGCUGGGAUUACAGGCGUGAGCCACCGCACCCCUCUGAAGGAGAUUUCUAGUGACCACCCCAGGGCUGUCUCACUUCACAGCAGUGACCUGAAUAGAGAUACUGAAGGAAUCCUCUCCGGAUCUGAGGGCAACAUAGAAUAGGGAGGGUUAGGGAGUGUGCUGGAUGAGAAAACCAGAAUCCACAGGAUAGAACAAGACUGAGUCCAGCCUGCUGGGCUCCCCACUUGGCUGCAAAGCACCAGCCACAGAGACAUAGGAUUCAAAGUGUUGGUUUAGCACUUUCCUCUGCCUAACACCAAGUGCUCUGCUGGGUCUGGGGAUUUGUUAACAUGUGGUCUGGCCUUAGGACCAGAGGAAAAGGGGGAUGUAUGUGUAUGCAAUUGGGGAAGGAAGCAGAGAAUUGGGGCUUUGAUGGUUUUCUGAGACAGGAAGGGAGGGAGGAGUGGGGUUGAGUGGCCUAGAAUCAGGCAGUGGUAGGGUGUGAGGUAGAAUGGGGUGUGAGUGGGGUCAGCACUUCUCUGUGUUCUAGGUAAGUUUGUUCCUGUCAAUUGGGAACCCCCUCAACCACUUCCAUUCCCCAAAUACCUGCGCUGCUACCGAUGCCUCUUGGAGACCGAGGAGUUAGGGUACCUUCUGGGAUCUGACAUCUGCCUCACCCCGGCUGGCAGCAGCUGCAUCACUCUCCACAUAAAGAACAGCAGCGGUUCUGACGUCAUGGUGAGUGACUGCCGAAGUAAGGAGCAGAUGAGUGAUUGUUCAAAUACCCGAACUUCUCCGGUGUCUGGCUUCUGGAUAUUCUCUCAAUGCUGCUUCCUGGAUUUCUGCAAUGACCCUCAAAACAGAGGGCUCUAUACUCCUUAG